RNAcentral lists this ribosomal RNA (497 nucleotides) under uncultured bacterium. RNAcentral's name for it is "partial 16S ribosomal RNA". It matches the Rfam family "Bacterial small subunit ribosomal RNA", at positions 36 to 507 of the family's 1533-position model. The record is from RNAcentral.
GCCUCCCUCUUUCCUCGUGCCUAAUACAUGCAAGUUGAGCGCUGAAGGUUGGUACUUGUACCAACUGGAUGAGCAGCGCACGGGUGAGUAACGCGUGGGGAAUCUGCCUUUGAGCGGGGGACAACAUUUGGAAACGAAUGCUAAUACCGCAUAAAAACUUUAAACACAAGUUUUAAGUUUGAAAGAUGCAAUUGCCUCACUCAAAGAUGAUCCCGCGUUGUAUUAGCUAGUUGGUGAGGUAAAGGCUCACCACGGCGAUGAUACAUAGCCGACCUGAGAGGGUGAUCGGCCACAUUGGGACUGAGACACGGCCCAAACUCCUACGGGAGGCAGCAGUAGGGAAUCUUCGGCAAUGGACGAAAGUCUGACCGAGCAACGCCGCGUGAGUGAAGAAGGUUUUCGGAUCGUAAAACUCUGUUGGUAGAGAAGAACGUUGGUGAGAGUGGAAAGCUCAUCAAGUGACGGUAACUACCCAGAAAGGGACGGCUAACUACGUG